CUCAGGCUCAGCUCUUGGUGAUGGAGAUGCAAGAAUGGGCAAGAUCCAUAAGGAUCAGGCGCUCCAUGGGACUCAGCUGGGGACAGGAAGACAAAUGAGCAAAGUGAUUUCAGGGAGCUCACAGAGAACCAGCUGGGUUGUGUUGGAAUGAUCUGCCUUCCUACAUCUGCUCUCUGUACCGGAAUGCCAGUUCUUUGAGGACAGAGGCUACAUCUUGUUUAUCUUAUACUCUGAUAUUUAACCCAUCUGGCCCCCAGAGAGUGUUCAAUAGUACUUUACUGGCAUGACCUGUCAGGUGGCUACAAUCAUUAGUGCUGAUUCAGUGGUAAGUGGAGGCUUGUAGGUCAGUGGAUCUGUCUGAGCUCUGUGGCUCACUUAGAAACCCUUCCUCUCAAAUGCUAUCCUACUGUCUCCUGUGGAUCACUAUGACCACAGGGCACUUUGGGAAACAGAGAAGCUCACCAGAGCAAAGAGCCCAGGAGACACCUGGCUCCUGAUGCAGAGGAGUCUUGUUCUCACCAGAGUGAAGACAGUGGAAGCCAGCACCUGUAUGCCAACUACAGUUUUGCUCGGAGUUGUUUCAGUGAGUGGUAUAUAGAAUAGAGGGGCAUUUCAACUCAAUCUUGACAGGUCCUCAUUGCCUAAGCAUGACCAACAUCAGCAACUUGGAAAAAAUCCUGCAAGAAUAGAGAUGCACUCUUGUCAGAACUCAGAACCAGGUGGCGGUGGAAGCAGCAAGACAACUGCUAUGAUGUGUAUUUAUGUUGUCUUUUCUUUUUUCUAGAGAGGCAACCUCUCUGUAACUUAUUUCUAUAACACAUAGCUACCCUCAACACUCAUUCUGACCAGAUUAUCUUUGUAAAAUUAUUUGUAAGAGUGGAAAAUCCUAGGAUGAUUUGUUUCAUCCCAUAUUCCUGAAAUAUGGCCCUGAACAGACACCCAAAGUAUAAUAUAUGAGAACUACCAGUAACUUCAGUAUCAGGAAUUAAAUCUGUAAGAGUGGUUGCCAGCCAUUUUGGGGACUCAUAGAUAAAGAAGGGCAGAAAUUACAGAAAAUUCAGCAGAGAGCCACAAUAGCCUUGGAAUAUUUCAUUAGGAGAUUGCAGAGCUGAUUCCAUAAUUAUUAUCAGUGUAUGAGCAUUUCUUAUAUGAAAGACAGUGAUAAAUUCCCCCUACCUCUAGUGAACGUCAGAGAAGCAGAAAUGAGUCUUUAGCAUCGUGUGAAGGAUUUAGGCUAGAUAAUAAGAAAAGUUAUUAACUACCUUAGUGAGUUCAAGUGAGUCUGAGAAAUCUUCUUCUCGGAAAGUCUUUAAAAAUGAUAGAGAUUUUCCUAUCAAGAAAGGAUUAAGUGUGGGCCUGCCUAAUGUAGAAGAAUAAACAAAAUAGUCUGUCAGAGUUUCUGCCAGCCCUCGGGGACUAUGACACUAUUUAUAUAUUUGGGAGCACAUAAAAUUGAUUUUUAUUUUACAUUUUCCUUUGAGAAACAAAGAAAAAUAGCCAUCUUUUUAAAGUUCAAGCUUAAUUUUCAGAGGGUUAUGGAAUGACGUGUUGCUGUGGGGUGGAAGGGGAACGUCAGAGAGCAGGCACUGAACUGUGGCCAAGUUGACUUCCGUUAUUUUUCCAAAUUGCAUUUUUGCUGCUUUCCCCCAAAACUUUAAAAUGGAUUCAUUUAGUUUAGUAAAUUUCUUAGCUGGGAUUUUCAGCCCUAUUUGUGUUUCGAGGGAUUAUACCAAAUAUACCUGACCUGCGACGCCAGGUAACCUCAGGCCUGUGCUGAUCCUUGCUCAUUCUUAACUGUUACCAGCAUUUGGAUGGAAGCUCCUUCUGCUUCCUGCACAUUCGUGUGCUUAGCAUAGUCUGUUAAUAUCUCCUCUAGAGAGAACAGCCCUUUCCAUGUAAAUUGGCAGUUCAGGGAAUAGUUGGGUGCUUACAAUGUCAAUGAAAGUCACACAAAUCAAUUGGCAAAAAUUAUUUUCUGCGAUUAUAUUGUUUUUGCAGUUACAUUUUUAAUUUUGACAGUUUAAGUGUGUUGAGAGUUCACGAUAGUUAAAGGCCAAGUGGAAUGUGGGGCAGGUCACUGCUGAGAUUCCCACUGCUUAGCUAAUGAGGUUUUCUUUGGAUUUUCAGUGUCAUUUAAUCUCAUUAACAUUGAAGAGAAAUAUUUUAGAACAAAAUAAAUGAACAAAUAUUUAUUGGGUGCCUCUGAUGUGCAAGGUGUGUAUUCGGUAGAGUGGGGCAUAAAACCUUGCUUUCAAGAGCCUCGCUAAUUGAGAAGUGAGUAGUAAUAAAAUGAGGGUAGAGAUCUUCUAGGAGAAGGUGCCACACAGUGGGGCAUAAUUAAUUCUUAAUGAAUUACACAGGUGAAGAGUCCUUGAUUUUGGAGAGAGAAUUGCAGGCCAUAUGAGGACCCUUUCUUUCCAGUGGGUGGAUCCGAGUCAGCUUCAAGGUCUUGGCAAAACAGAGAAGGGGUCUUGGGGAGGGGGAUUAAAAUAAUGUGGGUAGACAGUGCGUGGGAGAAAGCAAAAGGUGUGUUCAGGAAUCAGUGAGUACAACUCUGUUGGGAAGGAGACUGAGCAGAACACUGGGAAGUGUUUGGAAAUCAGUUCUCAGUUUGUACCAAGUGUGUUCAUUUUAUAUUGCUGUGUGACAAAUUACCACAAAUGUAAGAUCUGGAAAUUCUACUCGAUUAUUACCUCAUUGUUCUGUAGAUCAAACAUCUGGGUGGGUAUAACAGGGUUAUUGGCAUGGGAUUUCCCAGGUAAAAAUCAAGGGGUCAGCUGGGUUAGGAUGGAGGUUCUGAAAAGAAUCAAUUUCCAUCUCAUUCUGAUUGAUGGUAGUACUGUGGUCCUUGCAGUUCUAGAUUUCUGGCUCACUGUUGGCCAAGAAAUACUGUCAGCUCCUAGUGGGCACAUUCAAGUCCUGGCCAUAUGGUUCCCUCCAUCUCUGUAACACAGGACCUUCCUCAUGUUGAGGCCCUCUGGCUUGGCUGGACUUCUCAGAUGUCCUCUUCUGCCACCAGCUGAUGAAAACUCUUUUGAAAGGUCUCAAGUGAUUAGCUGAGGGUCGCUCACACCUCUCUUUUGAUUUAUUCAGGGUCAACUGACACGUAGUCUUAAUUACGUCUCUAAGAUGUCUUUUGCCGUGUCACAUAACAGGAUCAUGGGUGUUACUCCAGGAGAUGAAGACUUCUGAAGAUGGGCAGUGCUCUGGCCACCACACCCAGCUGUACCAUGGUGCUACCAUUUGUCUUCGUGUUGCCUAAUAGCUUACACUUGAAGCAACGUGUGUGGAGGAAGGUGAUCUGUUCAAAGAGUGUCAGCAUUGUGGUGGAAUUUGACACUUAUGACAACUCCGUUUUAUUUUUAAUCAAAUAUCCUCUGCAUGGAGGCAAAAUGAGCCUUUAAGGAAAGCUCUUAGAGAGUCUUCCAUUCAUCUUUCAAGGUUAUCAGCAUGCGAACGGCUUCCUUAUGCCUCUAAAGAUUUUGGCAGCACUGCUAACUUGACCUAGAUAGGAGGACAAACUUGAAAGAGUAAGAAAAUUCCACUGAGGGUGUGUAUACUAUUCAUAAGUCCUUUUUUUUCUUUCCUUGGCCUGAGCAUCCUUGUAUUUACUAUGUUUUUUAACAGAGUCAUGCCAUUCCACAAAAAGUAUAAAAUCCUAUUUCAAGGCAUGGA
Non-coding RNA from Ictidomys tridecemlineatus (thirteen-lined ground squirrel), 3675 nucleotides. The record is from RefSeq and is a predicted model, not a curated record. Lineage: Eukaryota; Metazoa; Chordata; Mammalia; Rodentia; Sciuridae.